AGAGGCAAACGAAAGCAGACCAAAGUCUAGGGGGAAAUAGCAAGCACAACAUGGUCAAAAGCACACCAGAGAGACCUAGGCCUGAAGUCACAGCCUGAAGCAGCACAGAAGCAGAAACAUGGUGGAUUGGAAAGGCCUGGCCAGGUCCUGCAGAAGGCUGAGCCACUGGAGAAACCUUUGGGACUGUGCUAGGGGGCAAAGCUCACCAUCAUAGACAAGGGCUGACUUGAGACGCCUGCAAACACAGAAGUUCAAAAGGAACAUUUCCCCGGAGCAACAACAGACCUAAAAGGAUCCAGGCUUCUGAACUGUGCCUGUGGCUGUGACAGCAGGCGUCUUGCGCUCCCUGCAAACUGGGUCAAUAUACUGUGUGGUUUACUAUGCUGCUCCCCGUGUAGAACAAGGCUGACACAGCUGCAUCAGAACAUCGCACUAAGUCCUAAGGAGAGCUUCACUGGAAAUGCAUGACUCCCCUCUUCUACCUGCCAUAAAAUGAUUCGAAAUCAUCUCUGACUUCACCUCUCAUUUAGUCUCUCACUGUGCCUCCCUAAUCGCAUGUAAAUGAAACCCCAAAAGUACAGAAACAGAAAAGAAAUCCACGGCCCUAAUCAGAUACACCGGGCAGUUCCCCCAGUGUCCUGGCAGAAUGGCUGAGGCAGGGGGCUGUUCCACUGAGCAUUCUUCAUGGCCUAGGCUGGGGCAGAAUCAUAAAGCUUGUUCUGUCACAGAAAAGGCCAAAUCCUCCCACUGUACCACUGGACAGAUGAUAUCUCCAUUGCUCAUCCCUCCACCUCUGACUCCAGCUUCUCUACAGCCCCAAACAUACCACGCACAGCCCUCCACAAGACACCCCCUGCCUGGUGUCACCCCCAUAGUUCCCAUCUCCCACCCACCUUAUCAUCUGUCUGUUUCCCACUAGAAAGCCAGCACCAAAGGCAAAGGAAUCUGUUGUAGUCUCCAAAUACUUCUCAUAGGUUCACCUCAUUUAACCUCAUCUCUGCCGCUCCCCACAGCGCAGCUCCGUAAGGACCCCACUAAGAAGGUCCAGACCCCAGGUCCAGGGUCUGCUCUGUACGAGCUGAACUCAAAGCGACGUCUCCCUGAGGUGGUAUCAGGCUGAGACCUUGCAUCAUCUGAAGUACCUCUAACAACCAGCUAGGAGAAUAAUAUUCCUAAUUAAAUCAUCGUGAAAAUAUUAAUGAAAAAGAAUUCAAAAAUGAUGAAAUUAAAAACGAACCCCAGGUCAGGCAUGGUGGUGUACGCCAUUAAUCCCAGCUUGUGGAUGUGGGACACAGAGACAAGGAGAUCUCAGAGUUCAAGGCCAGCCUAGUCUACAGAGCAAGUUCCAGGGCAGCCAGGGCUAAACAGAGAAACACUACCUCAAAAUAAAAUAAACCAGUUCUACAUGCUGACACUCACAUCUAUUCGCUACUUCAGAGGCUUUAUUACUCCCUACAACUGUACUAGCUCUAUCGGCCACUCUACAAAGACAGGUGUGGACCCACCUCUUGGAGGCUGAAGUAAAUCGCUUUGAGUUCAUAGCCCCCAUGGGCUACACAGUGGAUAACCAUGCUAGCUAGCCAAGGCUGCACAGGAAGUCCCUGUUUCAAACAAAGCAGCCUAGCUGUGAGUAGUAAUGCUCACCUAGCUCUAGCCCUUGGCAGAGAGAGAGAGAAAGAUUGAAAGUGCAGGGCCAUGCUUAGCUAAACAGUCAAUCUGGGCUGCCCGGAUUGGUCUCAAAACCCAGCCAACCUGGGGCGGGGCCUGGUGCUGCCCACAUUUAAUUCUGGCACUCAGGAAGCAGAGGCGGGCGGAUCUCCGUGAAUUCAACAUCUACAAAAACCACAACAAGAGCCAAACAAAUGAAAAGAAAAGAAAACCAAUAAUAAAAUAGAACCCCAGGAAAACAGACACGAACAGCAGCAGCAGGGUGGACAGGGCUUGGUGUAAGCGGCCAGGAUGGCUCCUCACAGAGGAAGGCAGGAGAAGAGAGUGGCUGUGAAGAGGCAGAAGUUGGCAGAUUCACUGAGACCAGUACGUCCCUUUCUCAGGCAGAGGCCAAGCAGCCCCUCCCCUGUGGAAAGGACAAAGGGCACUAGAGAGGCUAUAGGAUCAGCCCACGAAGGCAAGGGGACAAUAAGUUCAUGGCUGAGUCCCACCUGGCACACUGAAGUAGAACUUGGGUGACAAGACAUCUCAGACAACUGCUUGCUGUCACCAGAAAUGAAAAACAUCUACCUGCUCCUUCAGUUAUUAAACCAAGACCCAGGCCACUCAGAAGACAGCCAUGGUCACCAGCUAGCAAGCUCUCCUACACACAGGUAGACUCUGACCCUGAGGAGCUCAGAAGUCCAGAAUAUGGGGGCAGGGACCUUCCAAGGCAAGAUGCAACGACAGCCCGGAGCAGAGAGUUCACCGUUUCACAUUAGCUGGGGCCCAGCAGAAUGCAUAACUAGCAGCCAUGGAGACAUCACCUCACACAGAAUCUCUAUAGAUUCUUCCUACCUACCCCAGCUCCUGCUGCCAUUCCUCCCAGCCUGACUAGGUCUGUGCCAUCAACUACUCUAGUCUGAGUAUGCCAAUGAACUCUCCCUGGUUCACUCCAAGGGUACUAAGAGUACGCUGGGGCUAGAGAGUAGAAACAAACCUCCCUCCUACCUGUGGACAGGACCCAGGAACACUGCUUAGAUGGUGCAAAGCCAACUUCACUGCCUGUCAUACACAGAGCAGGUAAUCAGCCCAGUGUUCUGUACCUCUGUGUUUCCAAAGGAAAACAGGAUAUCAUCUAUGAUAUCUAUAACAAGACAGAAGUCACAACGACGAAGAAGUACCCAUUUUGAACAAAGCAUUCAGAAUGACAGCUGCUUUAUGUUUCAUGUGAAAGGCUGCCGGUGACAGAGAGUCUAGCCAUGCUGGCCUGUAAGCCUGCUAUCUCGUGUC
This is a non-coding RNA of Rattus norvegicus (Norway rat), 2940 nucleotides long. The record is from RefSeq and is a predicted model, not a curated record. NCBI's taxonomy places the organism in Eukaryota, Metazoa, Chordata, Mammalia, Rodentia, Muridae.